RNAcentral lists this small RNA (18 nucleotides) under Arabidopsis thaliana (thale cress). RNAcentral's name for it is "Ath_wt_04207". The record is from RNAcentral. Lineage: Eukaryota; Viridiplantae; Streptophyta; Magnoliopsida; Brassicales; Brassicaceae.
GCGGCGAGAGCGGGUCGC